This 253-nucleotide ribosomal RNA is filed under the name uncultured bacterium. RNAcentral's name for it is "partial 16S ribosomal RNA". It matches the Rfam family "Bacterial small subunit ribosomal RNA", at positions 524 to 776 of the family's 1533-position model. The record is from RNAcentral.
UACGUAGGUGGCAAGCGUUGUCCGGAUUUACUGGGCGUAAAGAGCGCGCAGGCGGUCGGAUCAGUCGAAUGUGAAAGCCCCCGGCUCAACUGGGGAGGGUCAUUCGAUACUGUCCGACUCGAAGGCAGGAGAGGGAAGCGGAAUUCCCGGUGUAGUGGUGAAAUGCGUAGAUAUCGGGAGGAACACCAGUGGCGAAGGCGGCUUUCUGGCCUGUUCUUGACGCUGAGGCGCGAAAGCGUGGGGAGCGAACAGG